UCAAGAUCCUGCCAUGGAAAAGACGACUGGGUGCACAGGAAGUGUAAAGGAGGGGAAAUAACGCACAACAUGCAGCAGGACACCUUCAGCUGCGGGGUCUUUAUGGCCAAGGAAGUUGCACAGAACUUCGCCAACAUCGACUCCCAAAUUGAUAAGGAACCUUCACAAAAACACAUGGAGCAACUACGAAAAUAAAUGGUUGAGGAUAUACUACAAAUGUCUGGCCGGUGGUGGCUGGUCCACUCCAGGAGUCUGAGGUGCGGGAGGUUCCUCCGCCCCCUCUGGACACCGAGGGGGCCCCGGCGUAUGCUGUUCGAGCCAUACUGUACUCAAGGCAUCGAGCGAGGGGUCUUCAGUACCUCGUGGAGUGGGAGGGGUAUGGUCCGGAGGAGACAUUCUGGGUGCCGGUGGAGGACGUCUUGGACCCUUCGUUGCUGCGGAGUUCCACCGUCUCCAUCCGGAUCGCCCUGCGCCUCGGGGUCGUCCCCGGGAUCGGUGUCGGCCCGCUGCUGGAGC
Oncorhynchus masou masou (cherry salmon) is the source of this 516-nucleotide long non-coding RNA. RefSeq lists it as uncharacterized. The transcript has 3 exons. Lineage: Eukaryota; Metazoa; Chordata; Actinopteri; Salmoniformes; Salmonidae. The record is from RefSeq and is a predicted model, not a curated record.